RNAcentral lists this ribosomal RNA (253 nucleotides) under uncultured bacterium. Its description in RNAcentral is "partial 16S ribosomal RNA". It matches the Rfam family "Bacterial small subunit ribosomal RNA", at positions 524 to 776 of the family's 1533-position model. The record is from RNAcentral.
UACGUAGGGGGCAAGCGUUGUCCGGAAUUAUUGGGCGUAAAGCGCGCGCAGGCGGUUUAUUAAGUCUGAUGUGAAAGCCCACGGCUCAACCGUGGAGGGCCAUUGGAAACUGGUAGGCUUGAGUGCAGGAGAGGAGAGCGGAAUUCCCGGUGUAGCGGUGAAAUGCGUAGAUAUCUGGAGGAACACCGGUGGCGAAGGCGGCAUCCUGGACCGGCAUUGACGCUGAGGCGCGAAAGCCAGGGGAGCAAACGGG